Molecule: long non-coding RNA, 1524 nt
Filed under: Piliocolobus tephrosceles (Ugandan red Colobus)
Lineage: Eukaryota; Metazoa; Chordata; Mammalia; Primates; Cercopithecidae
Description: lncRNA (ENSPTEG00000010864.1)
Source: RNAcentral
UUACAGCAAAAUACUGAAGACUGUACUAACAAAGUAAAAGAGAUAGAAAAUAAUGAUGUAUUAAAUUUAAUUUAUAAGAAGGUCAAGAAUGAAAUGUAUAACAGAAAUGAGGCAACUUAUGAAAACGAAGAAGAUAGUUUUUUAAAAAAAGUGACAUUUGGAGAUGGAGUAACAGGUGAUGAAAAUGUUACGAGUAUAUUUAACACAAACAAUAAUAAUAAUAAUAAUAAUAAUAGCAUGAAUCUGAAUAAUUUUGGAAUAAACGAAAAUAGAAAUGACUAUAUAAUUAAUAAUAAUAGUAAUAACGGCAUUAUCAACCACAAUAACACCUAUCAUAACAAAUACAAUAUUAAUAAUGCGCUUUUAGAGUAUUAUUUAAAGCACUAUAACGGAUUAAGCAGAAAUAGUAACAAAGAGCAAGACAAUUUGGAUUUAGAACAAUUAAAGUUUUCUACAAACUCCAAUAGGAAUAGUAAAACUGGUGAUUAUAACUAUAAACAUUAUUUAACUACUUCUGCCAGUAAUAAUGGGAAUAUUAAUAAGUACAAUACACAUAUUUUUAGUAGUAGUAAUAAUAUUAAGAACGAUAUUGAUAACUAUGAUAAAAAUUAUGGUAUUAAUAAUAAGUUACACAACAAUAAUGUAAUUUCGCACCCAGUUAGUUUAGGAAUAAAUAAUGAAAAUGACAAUAAGACUAAUAUACUUGAACAAAUUAAAAAUGAAUCGAACAAAACAGAUGUGUUUAUAGGUAAUAACUUAGAACACAAAUAUAAAAAUGAAGGAUACAAUAAUUUUGAUUUCAAUAAAAUUAAUACAUAUGUCAAAAGUAAAACUUGUGUAAAUAACAACAGUAGAAACGACAUGAUGAUCGGUAAGUAUAAUCAAAAAGGUUUUUUUAAAAAUAAGGAUUUGAAUUGGGAAAAAAAAACGUUUUAUAUGAAUGGACUCGGACAAAAUGGAGAUAGUAUAGAGUUGGAAAAUGAAAUGAAUAAGGUAAAUGAAUAUUUUCACAACAAAACAAAAGACUCAGGGUACUUUUUAAAAAAUAAUAUGCUUUUAGAUAGUGAUAAUGAUAAUAGUACUUGUACUAAUACUACUAAUACUACUAAUAAUACUACUAUUAAUAACAAUAAUCAUAAUAAUCAUAACAAUAAUAAUGCUUGGUUUAAGUCUAGAACUAUAAAUGUGGUGAAUAGACCAAGAUACAAAAAAACAUUUAACAUGUUUGAAGAAGUUACAAAAGGUUAUCAAAAUAGCAAUGAUAUUAACGAUGACAAUACCACCUGUACUGGUACUGUUCCUACUACCAACAAUAGUAAUAAUACUACUAAAAAAUACGGUAACAAUAAUAAUAAUAAUAACAACAAUAAUAGUGGUAAUAGCUGUUUAAGCUUAAAAGAAAAAUAUAACAUGUCGAAAGCAAAAAAACUAGUAAAAAAAAAUACAGAAAUAAAUGAAUUACCACUAGAAGAAUUAAAAGCAUUAUUAACGAAAGGACAUGAACUGAACUUACAUAGAUUAUUA